Non-coding RNA from Schistosoma mansoni, 45 nucleotides. The record is from Rfam. NCBI's taxonomy places the organism in Eukaryota, Metazoa, Platyhelminthes, Trematoda, Strigeidida, Schistosomatidae.
AUCCAGCUGACGAGUGCCAAAUAGGACGAAACGCGCAUCCUGGAU